RNAcentral lists this small nucleolar RNA (72 nucleotides) under Drosophila melanogaster (fruit fly). RNAcentral's name for it is "small nucleolar RNA Me18S-G1189". Lineage: Eukaryota; Metazoa; Arthropoda; Insecta; Diptera; Drosophilidae. The record is from RNAcentral.
UCCCUAAUGAUGCUGGACUGAGCCGGAGCCCGAGCUUAAACUGUUGCUCUUGAGAUCUUGAAAUCUGAGGGG